UGGUAUAGCUUGGUGGUAGAGUAUGUGCUUAGUAAGCACAUCCUUGGGUUUGAUUCCCAGUACCA
RNAcentral lists this transfer RNA (65 nucleotides) under Urocitellus parryii (Arctic ground squirrel). Its description in RNAcentral is "Spermophilus parryii (Arctic ground squirrel) tRNA". It matches the Rfam family "tRNA". From Rfam's summary of the family: Transfer RNA (tRNA) molecules are approximately 80 nucleotides in length. Their secondary structure includes four short double-helical elements and three loops (D, anti-codon, and T loops). The record is from Rfam by way of RNAcentral. RNAcentral also lists the same sequence under 2 other names. Lineage: Eukaryota; Metazoa; Chordata; Mammalia; Rodentia; Sciuridae.